RNAcentral lists this ribosomal RNA (450 nucleotides) under uncultured bacterium. Its description in RNAcentral is "partial 16S ribosomal RNA". It matches the Rfam family "Bacterial small subunit ribosomal RNA", at positions 354 to 796 of the family's 1533-position model. The record is from RNAcentral.
GUGGGGAAUAUUGGACAAUGGGCGAAAGCCUGAUCCAGCCAUGCCGCGUGUGUGAAGAAGGUCUUCGGAUUGUAAAGCACUUUAAGUUGGGAGGAAGGGCAUUAACCUAAUACGUUAGUGUUUUGACGUUACCGACAGAAUAAGCACCGGCUAACUUCGUGCCAGCAGCCGCGGUAAUACGAAGGGUGCAAGCGUUAAUCGGAAUUACUGGGCGUAAAGCGCGCGUAGGUGGUUCGUUAAGUUGGAUGUGAAAGCCCCGGGCUCAACCUGGGAACGGCAUCCAAAACUGGCGAGCUAGAGUACGGUAGAGGGUGGUGGAAUUUCCUGUGUAGCGGUGAAAUGCGUAGAUAUAGGAAGGAACACCAGUGGCGAAGGCGACCACCUGGACUGAUACUGACACUGAGGUGCGAAAGCGUGGGGAGCAAACAGGAUUAGAAACCCGUGUAGUCC